CCUACGGGAGGCAGCAGUGAGGAAUAUUGGUCAAUGGACGAGAGUCUGAACCAGCCAAGUAGCGUGAAGGAUGACUGCCCUAUGGGUUGUAAACUUCUUUUAUAAAGGAAUAAAACGAGGCACGUGUGCCUUUUUGCAUGUACUUUAUGAAUAAGGAUCGGCUAACUCCGUGCCAGCAGCCGCGGUAAUACGGAGGAUCCGAGCGUUAUCCGGAUUUAUUGGGUUUAAAGGGUGCGUAGAUGGGUUGUUAAGUCAGUUGUGAAAGUUUGCGGCUCAACCGCAAAAUUGCAAUUGAUACUGGCAGUCUUGAGUACAGUUGAGGUAGGCGGAAUUCGUGGUGUAGCGGUGAAAUGCUUAGAUAUCACGAAGAACCCCGAUUGCGAAGGCAGCUUACUAAACUGUUACUGACAUUGAUGCUCGAAAGUGUGGGUAGCAAACAGGAUUAGAUACCCUUGUAGUC
Molecule: ribosomal RNA, 460 nt
Filed under: uncultured bacterium
Lineage: Bacteria
Description: partial 16S ribosomal RNA
Rfam family: Bacterial small subunit ribosomal RNA
Source: RNAcentral